Molecule: ribosomal RNA, 546 nt
Filed under: uncultured bacterium
Lineage: Bacteria
Description: bacterial SSU rRNA
Rfam family: Bacterial small subunit ribosomal RNA
Source: RNAcentral
UGGGGAAUAUUGCGCAAUGGGGGGAACCCUGACGCAGCCAUGCCGCGUGAAUGAAGAAGGCCUUCGGGUUGUAAAGUUCUUUCGGUAUUGAGGAAGGUUGAUGUGUUAAUAGCACAUCAAAUUGACGUUAAAUACAGAAGAAGCACCGGCUAACUCCGUGCCAGCAGCCGCGGUAAUACGGAGGGUGCGAGCGUUAAUCGGAAUAACUGGGCGUAAAGGGCACGCAGGCGGUUAUUUAAGUGAGGUGUGAAAGCCCCGGGCUUAACCUGGGAAUUGCAUUUCAGACUGGGUAACUAGAGUACUUUAGGGAGGGGUAGAAUUCCACGUGUAGCGGUGAAAUGCGUAGAGAUGUGGAGGAAUACCGAAGGCGAAGGCAGCCCCUUGGGAAUGUACUGACGCUCAUGUGCGAAAGCGUGGGGAGCAAACAGGAUUAGAUACCCUGGUAGUCCACGCUGUAAACGCUGUCGAUUUGGGGGUUGGGGUUUAACUCUGGCGCCCGUAGCUNACGUGAUAAAUCGACCGCCCGGGGAGUACGGCCGCAAGGNU